AAUGGCUACCACAUCCAAGGAAGGCAGCAGGCGCGCAAAUUACCCACUCUCGGCACGAGGAGGUAGUGACGAAAAAUAACGAGACGGUUCUCUUUCGAGGCCCGUCAUCGGAAUGGGUACAAUCCAAACCCUUUAACGAGGAUCUAUUGGAGGGCAAGUCUGGUGCCAGCAGCCGCGGUAAUUCCAGCUCCAAUAGCGUAUAUUAAAAUUGUUGCGGUUAAAAAGCUCGUAGUUGGAUCUGCGGCAUUCUGGAUUUCGGUCCCAUUGAAAUGUGGUGUACUGAAUAUCCGUGCCUACCUCUCUGAUAUUCGUCGGUGGCUCUUCAUCGGGUGCCGAUGCGAUCAGACAGUUUACUUUGAAAAAAUUAGAGUGCUCAAAGCAGGCGUCUAUGCCUGAAUAGUGGUGCAUGGAAUAAUGGAAUAGGACCUCGGUUCUAUUUUGUUGGUUUUCGGAACUUCCGAGGUAAUGAUGAAUGGGAAUAGAACGGGGGCAUUCGUAUUGCGACGUUAGAGGUGAAAUUCUUGGAUCGUCGCAAGACGGACUACUGCGAAAGCAUUUGCCAAGAAUGUUUUCAUUAAUCAAGAGCGAAAGUUAGAGGUUCGAAGGCGAUCAGAUACCGCCCUAGUUCUAACCGUAAACGAUGCCAACUAGCGAUCCGUCGGUGUUACACAAUUGACUCGACGGGCAGCUUUCCGGAAACGAAAGUUUUUCGGUUCCGGGGGAAGUAUGGUUGCAAAGCUGAAA
This 744-nucleotide ribosomal RNA is filed under the name Nematoda environmental sample. Its description in RNAcentral is "bacterial SSU rRNA". It matches the Rfam family "Eukaryotic small subunit ribosomal RNA", at positions 402 to 1142 of the family's 1831-position model. Lineage: Eukaryota; Metazoa; Nematoda. The record is from RNAcentral.